RNAcentral lists this ribosomal RNA (744 nucleotides) under Burkholderia sp. RNAcentral's name for it is "bacterial SSU rRNA". It matches the Rfam family "Bacterial small subunit ribosomal RNA", at positions 56 to 790 of the family's 1533-position model. The record is from RNAcentral. Lineage: Bacteria; Pseudomonadati; Pseudomonadota; Betaproteobacteria; Burkholderiales; Burkholderiaceae.
UGCAGUCGAGCGGCAGCACGGGUGCUUGUCUUGGUGGCGAGUGGCAAGCGGGUGAGUAGUACGUCGGACCCUGUCCUGGAGGGAGGGAUAGCCCGGCGAAAGCCGGAUUAAUACCGCAUACGAUCUACGGAUGAAAGCGAGGGACCUUCCUGCCUCGCGCUAUAAGGUUGAUCGAUGGCUGAUUAUAUAGUUGGAGGGGUAAAGGUCUACCAAGGCGAAGAUCAGUAGGUGCUCUGAGAGGACGACCACCCACUGUGGGACUGACACACGGCCCACACUCCUACGGGAGGCAACAGUGGAGAAUUUUGGACAGUGAGCGAAAGCCUGAUCCACCUAUGCCGCGUGUGUGAAAAAGGCCUUCGGUGUGUAAAUCUUUUUUGUCCGGAAAGAAAUCCUUGGCUCUAAUACAGUCGGGGGAUGACGGCACCGAAAAAAUAAACACCGGCUAACUACGUGCCAACACCCGCGGAAAUACGUAGGGUGCGAGCGUUAAUCAAAAUUAGUGGGCGUAAAGCGUGCGCAGGCGGCUUGCUAAGACCGAUGUGAUAUCCCCGGUCUCACCCUGAGAACUGUCUUGGUGACUGGCAGGCUAGAGUAUGGCAGAGAUGGGGUACUAUUCCGCGUGUAGCAGUGAUGUGCAUAUGAUAUGAGAGAAGAAUACCGAUGGAGAAUGCCCCCCCCCCUGUGUGACUAUACUGACUGUCAUGACACGAGAGCGUGGAGACCAAGACAGAGAUUACUAUA